GUCUAUGGCCAUACCACCCUGAAAGUGUCCGAUCUUGUCUGAUCUGGGAAGCUAAGCAGGGUCGGGCCUGGUUAGUACUUGGAUGGGAGAAAGUAAGCCUACCAACC
RNAcentral lists this ribosomal RNA (107 nucleotides) under Spermophilus dauricus (Daurian ground squirrel). Lineage: Eukaryota; Metazoa; Chordata; Mammalia; Rodentia; Sciuridae. The record is from RNAcentral.